CUGAAGAUGCUAUGAGGUGGACUGGACAGGGCAGGGUUAUUGAGCGAUGGAGGGAAGCUGGAGCAGGUGCUCAGAGAAGUCAGGAGGGGGAUGAAGAGAACAGUCAGGCCAGUGGGACCUGGUAUCUGGAGAAAUGGGGCCUGGCAAGAGGGGGAAAGGAGGAACAGUGAGUUUGCUGCAUCAGAAGGACCUGGUAAGUGGUGGGCCUGACUGUUCCCACUUCAAACCACUUCUUAGCUUCAUUUGUUCUCAUAAUAUCAGGAUAGCCCUUUCUCCUCAAGAGGCCUGGGCAUCAGCAGUCAGAUGGCAGUGGAAGGUGGAGAAAUGGAAUCCUGCUGGGGGCUCAGGAGACCUGCCCCCGGAUGCUGCCGUGCACUGCAGAUGUCCUUGAUGAAGAAAAUGAAUGGAAGCUGUCUUUCUCAAUGGCAAAAGGACAUACUGCUGUUAUUGUCAGUGAGGGGCCAGGAGGUAAGAGAGAGAUAAAUGGUAACAGAAAGUGCUUCCUUAAGUGAAAUUAGGGGAGUGCGUGUGUGUGUGUGUGUCUGUGUGUGUGUGUGUGCAUAUUUGGGGUAGGGGGAGUGGU
This 583-nucleotide long non-coding RNA is filed under the name Rhinopithecus bieti (black snub-nosed monkey). RNAcentral describes it as "lncRNA (ENSRBIG00000045369.1)". The record is from RNAcentral. Lineage: Eukaryota; Metazoa; Chordata; Mammalia; Primates; Cercopithecidae.